RNAcentral lists this ribosomal RNA (468 nucleotides) under uncultured bacterium. RNAcentral describes it as "partial 16S ribosomal RNA". It matches the Rfam family "Bacterial small subunit ribosomal RNA", at positions 28 to 507 of the family's 1533-position model. The record is from RNAcentral.
GACGAACGCUGGCGGCGUGCUUAACACAUGCAAGUCGAACGGAAAGGCCCUGCUUUUGUGGGGUGCUCGAGUGGCGAACGGGUGAGUAACACGUGAGUAACCUGCCCUUGACUUUGGGAUAACUUCAGGAAACUGGGGCUAAUACCGGAUAGGAGCUCCUGCUGCAUGGUGGGGGUUGGAAAGUUUCGGCGGUUGGGGAUGGGCUCGCGGCUUAUCAGCUUGUUGGUGGGGUAGUGGCUUACCAUGGCUUUGACGGGUAGCCGGCCUGAGAGGGUGACCGGCCACAUUGGGACUGAGAUACGGCCCAGACUCCUACGGGGGGCAGCAGUGGGGAAUAUUGCAAAAUGGGCGGAAGCCUGAUGCAGCAACGCCGCGUGCGGGAUGACGGCCUUCGGGUUGUAAACCGCUUUCGCCUGUGACGAAGCGUGAGUGACGGUAAUGGGUAAAGAAGCACCGGCUAACUACGUG